RNAcentral lists this ribosomal RNA (601 nucleotides) under uncultured bacterium. RNAcentral describes it as "bacterial SSU rRNA". It matches the Rfam family "Bacterial small subunit ribosomal RNA", at positions 338 to 951 of the family's 1533-position model. The record is from RNAcentral.
CCUACGGGAGGCAGCAGUGGGGAAUCUUGCGCAAUGGGCGAAAGCCUGACGCAGCAACGCCGCGUGCGGGAAGAAGGCCUUAGGGUUGUAAACCGCUUUCAGUAGGAACGAAAAUGACGGUACCUGCAGAAGAAGGUGCGGCCAACUACGUGCCAGCAGCCGCGGUGACACGUAGGCACCAAGCGUUGUCCGGAUUUAUUGGGCGUAAAGAGCUCGUAGGCGGUUCAGUAAGUCGGGUGUGAAAACUCUGGGCUUAACCCAGAGCCGCCACUCGAUACUGCUGUGACUUGAGUUCGGUAGGGGAGCAGGGAAUUCCUAGUGUAGCGGUGAAAUGCGCAGAUAUUAGGAGGAACACCGGUGGCGAAGGCGCUGCUCUGGGCCGAUACUGACGCUGAGGAGCGAAAGCGUGGGUAGCAAACAGGAUUAGAUACCCUGGUAGUCCACGCCGUAAACGUUGGGCACUAGGUGUGGGUUCCAACCAACGGAAUCCGCGCCGUCGCUAACGCAUUAAGUGCCCCGCCUGGGGAGUACGGCGGCAACGCUAAAACUCAAANAGAUAGACGGCGUGAGACGNGCCGACGGACGACGACGAGGGAGUAGG